GUGAACGCUGGCGGUAGGCCUAACACAUGCAAGUCGCACGGCAGCACAGUAAGAGCUUGCUCUUACGGGUGGCGAGUGGCGGACGGGUGAGGAAUACAUCGGAAUCUACUUUUUCGUGGGGGAUAACGUAGGGAAACUUACGCUAAUACCGCAUACGACCUACGGGUGAAAGCAGGGGAUCUUCGGACCUUGCGCGAUUGAAUGAGCCGAUGUCGGAUUAGCUAGUUGGCGGGGUAAAGGCCCACCAAGGCGACGAUCCGUAGCUGGUCUGAGAGGAUGAUCAGCCACACUGGAACUGAGACACGGUCCAGACUCCUACGGGAGGCAGCAGUGGGGAAUAUUGGACAAUGGGCGCAAGCCUGAUCCAGCCAUACCGCGUGGGUGAAGAAGGCCUUCGGGUUGUAAAGCCCUUUUGUUGGGAAAGAAAAGCAGCAGGUUAAUACCCCGCUGUCCUGACGGUACCCAAAGAAUAAGCACCGGCUAACUUCGUG
RNAcentral lists this ribosomal RNA (491 nucleotides) under uncultured bacterium. RNAcentral describes it as "partial 16S ribosomal RNA". It matches the Rfam family "Bacterial small subunit ribosomal RNA", at positions 29 to 507 of the family's 1533-position model. The record is from RNAcentral.